Molecule: ribosomal RNA, 400 nt
Filed under: uncultured bacterium
Lineage: Bacteria
Description: bacterial SSU rRNA
Rfam family: Bacterial small subunit ribosomal RNA
Source: RNAcentral
UAGGGAAUAUUGCUUAAUGGGCGAAAGCCUGAAGCAGCAACGCCGCGUGUGCGAUGAAGGCCUUCGGGUUGUAAAGCACUUUUCGAGGGGAUGAGGAAGGACAGUACCCUUGGAAUAAGUCUCGGCUAACUACGUGCCAGCAGCCGCGGUAAAACGUAGGAGACGAGCGUUAUCCGGAUUUACUGGGCGUAAAGCGCGUGUAGGCGGUCUGGAAAGUUGGAUGUGAAAGCUCCCGGCUUAACUGGGAGAGGUCGUUCAAAACUACCGGACUAGAGUGCGGGAGAGGGAGGUGGAAUUCCGGGUGUAGUGGUGAAAUGCGUAGAUAGUCCGGAGGAACACCAGUGGCGAAAGCGGCCUUCUGGCCCGCAACUGACGCUCAGACGCGAAACGCUAGGGGGAG